UUUGGGGGGGUUCCUGUUAUUUUUGGGUGAAAGGAGGAGCGUGGGGGGCUCCAGAGGAGGUUUUGGUGUGAAUCAAGGAGUGUUAAGAGCAAGGGGGGGCUCUGCCUUAAUCCCCCCCCCCUGCCGGGGACUGCUGGAGGGGACACUGAGGACAUGGCAGGUCCUGGCUGGGGGAGAAGCCCCCUGGCUCCUUGUACCACGGGGGGGUCCCAGCAGUCACCGUGGGACACACAUUGGGAUGCUCCAGGCUGGAAAUACCCCGAGGGGGGGUUGGAAAAGGCCCCCCCCAAGUCCUCAUUGGGGCUCACAGAACUGCUGGGAUUUGGGGAGACAACCCUGGGAUGAGGAGAAAUAAGGGCCACUGGAGAGAAUAAAGAAGAAGAUGGUGCCUGGGAAGGUUUUUCCUCAAGAAAGAUUGAUCCAGGGAAGGUUCUUCCCAAAAAAGAUGGAGCUUGGGAAGGUUUUUCCCCAGAAAGAUGGUGCCUGGGAAGGUUCUUCCCAAGAAAGAUUGAUCCAGGGAAGGUUCUUCCCAAGAAAGAUUGAUCCAGGGAAGGUUCUUCCCAAGAAAGAUUGAUCCAGGGAAGGUUCUUCCCAAGAAAGAUUGAUCCAGGGAAGGUUCUUCCCAAGAAAGAUUGAUCCAGGGAAGGUUCUUCCCAAGAAAGAUUGAUCCAGGGAAGGUUCUUCCCAAGAAAGAUUGAUCCAGGGAAGGUUCUUCCCAAGAAAGAUUGAUCCAGGGAAGGUUCUUCCCAAGAAAGAUGGAUCCAGGGAAGGUUUUUCCCCAGAAAGAUGGAGCCUGGGAAGGUUUUUCCCCAGAAAGAUUGAUCCAGGGAAGGUUUUUCCUCAAGAAAGAUGGAUCCAGGGAAGGUUCUUCCCCAAGAAAGAUGGAUCCAGGGAAGGUUCUUCCCCAAGAAAGAUUGAUCCAGGGAAGGUUCUUCCUAAAAAAAGAUGGAGCUUGGGAAGGUUUUUCCCCAGAAAGAUGGUGCCUGGGAAGGUUUUUCCCAAAAAAGGAUGAUGCCUGGGAAGGUUUUUCCCAAGAAAACAUGGGAAGAUUCCCCGAAAAAGCCGCUGGAACCAGGCUCCGUGAUCUCUUUAUCUCCGUCUUUUUCUCCACCUCUUCCUUUCUCCAUCCCUCGGUUUCUCGUCGAGUCGUUAAGUAACAAUUAGAGUCAUUACGUAAUGACCUUAAGUACCUCCUGCUGUAAUUCCUUUUAUACCCAACCGAUUAACGUGGCCUCGUUAAGACCUGGACUAAUCAUUUGGGAAACUAAUAAAUGUUUAUAUGUGGCCCUUGAGAUUUCUCUC
RNAcentral lists this long non-coding RNA (1302 nucleotides) under Calidris pugnax (ruff). RNAcentral describes it as "lncRNA (ENSCPUG00000019042.1)". The record is from RNAcentral. Lineage: Eukaryota; Metazoa; Chordata; Aves; Charadriiformes; Scolopacidae.